RNAcentral lists this ribosomal RNA (429 nucleotides) under uncultured bacterium. RNAcentral's name for it is "bacterial SSU rRNA". It matches the Rfam family "Bacterial small subunit ribosomal RNA", at positions 355 to 776 of the family's 1533-position model. The record is from RNAcentral.
UGGGGAAUAUUGCACAAUGGGCGCAAGCCUGAUGCAGCCAUGCCGCGUGUAUGAAGAAGGCCUUAGGGUUGUAAAGUACUUUCAGCGGGGAGGAAGGCGAUAAGGUUAAUAACCUUGUCGAUUGACGUUACCCGCAGAAGAAGCACCGGCUAACUCCGUGCCAGCAGCCGCGGUAAUACGGAGGGUGCAAGCGUUAAUCGGAAUUACUGGGCGUAAAGCGCACGCAGGCGGUCUGUCAAGUCGGAUGUGAAAUCCCCGGGCUCAACCUGGGAACUGCAUUCGAAACUGGCAGGCUGGAGUCUUGUAGAGGGGGGUAGAAUUCCAGGUGUAGCGGUGAAAUGCGUAGAGAUCUGGAGGAAUACCGGUGGCGAAGGCGGCCCCCUGGACAAAGACUGACGCUCAGGUGCGAAAGCGUGGGGAGCAAACAGG